GUGAUUAAAUCGAGCGUGUCUUCAUUGACCGCUCACCCUUCUCACCAUCCAAUACACCUGUGCACUGUUUAGCCUGAGCCGGUUUUCCGGUCCAGGUUAUCAUUUAUACAAACUCUAGUCUUAUGAAUGUAAACGUUUUAAUAACAUAAUA
Molecule: unclassified non-coding RNA, 151 nt
Filed under: soil metagenome
Description: partial internal transcribed spacer 1
Source: RNAcentral